RNAcentral lists this ribosomal RNA (199 nucleotides) under uncultured bacterium. RNAcentral's name for it is "partial 16S ribosomal RNA". It matches the Rfam family "Bacterial small subunit ribosomal RNA", at positions 1294 to 1500 of the family's 1533-position model. The record is from RNAcentral.
CGGAUCGGAGUCUGCAACCCGACUCCGUGAAGCUGGAUUCGCUAGUAAUCGCGCAUCAGCCAUGGCGCGGUGAAUACGUUCCCGGGCCUUGUACACACCGCCCGUCAAGCCAUGGGAGCCGGGGGUGCUUGAAGUGCGUCGCCGCGAGGCGCGCCCUAGAGCAAAACCGGUGACUGGGGCUAAGUCGUAACAAGGUAAC